Hevea brasiliensis (rubber tree) is the source of this 5598-nucleotide RNA transcript. It is a transcript of the gene named protein CTR9 homolog, with no coding region annotated. Lineage: Eukaryota; Viridiplantae; Streptophyta; Magnoliopsida; Malpighiales; Euphorbiaceae. The record is from RefSeq and is a predicted model, not a curated record. The transcript has 2 exons.
CAGUUGUUAUCCACUCUCUGCUUCUUUGACGCCAUUCUACCGCCAAAAGCCCAAAAGAACCAGCAGGCAAAGAAAGCACGAUAGGAUUUUGCUUUCUUUUUCAAUUAAUUUUUUGUAUUUCGAUUGAGAACCAUAAAUGGUAUCUGUGUACAUUCCAGUGCAGAACUCGGAGGAGGAGGUCAGGUGGCUCUGUAUCAGCUCCCUAAAGAAGCUUGAUAUUCUCGACAUUCUUAAAGCCGAGCAAGCUCCUCUCGAUCUCUGGCUUAUCAUCGCAGUUAGUUCUUUUCUUUUCGGUGUCCUUUUCGUUCAAUUUGUCAUCUACAAUUAGCGGUUAAUCGCGAAUUUCCAUUUAGAACUGACAUUGACAAAACUAAGGGCACUGAAAUAAUAAUUUCUAGGGUACUUGAAUUAUUCAUUUUGCUUAGUUACACCAUUUUAGUUUAGUAUGCUGUUGCUUUCCUUUUUGGAGAAAUUAUUUAUUUAUUUAUUUAAAUUUGCUGGUGAUGUGGUUGCUGUUCAGAGGGAGCAAUUUAAACAAGGAAAACUCGGUCAAAGCAUCUGAGCUGGUAUUUCAGAUAAUCUGAUAAAUGGUUUGUUUCUUUUUUUCAAAAAAAAAAAUUAUUGCAGAAAUUGAUGAAUGUUAUGCUGAUGUUGGAUAUGAAAGAAUUGCCAUUAAUGUGUACAUUAAAUGCUUUAGGGGCUUAUUAUAUCUAUCUUGGAAAAUCGAGACCAAACAGAGAGAAAAAGAGGAAUAUUUUAUAAAAAAAUCUCUGUUAUCAAAUAUGACUGAAUAAGUGAUCAGACAGGUACCUUGUACUUGCAUAUUUGUUUAAAAUGAUUACAAAUCCUUGUUAGAACUUUACUCCCAUUUCAUUCUUUUCAUUUGGUUGUCUUUGUGUACAAUGUUCAGUGCUUGACUCUUUAUAUGAUUAACUCGAGUUGCUAUAUCUCCAUUUCAUGUAUGGCUCAGAAAUAUGGAUCAUUGAAUUCUUGGUUGCGUGUUACCUGAAUCUGUUUUCACGUUUAUUAUUGUUGUUUUGGAUUGCAAGUAGCAAUGAAUUAUUUUGUGUUCUUUCUUUUAUCUGACUGUGACAUAAAAAAUGCAGCACUUCUGAAUCCUGAAUGGACUACUAGAAGUGUGGAAACCAAUUUUUUCACCUCUGUACUACUAAUAUAUUAAAUCAUGCUUUGAUGGUUGGUGUCUCUGAAGAAUCUACAUUAUCAAACCCUUGGUUGCAAGCUAUUACUCAAUUUUAGGGAGCCUUCUUCUGUGUUGUGGCCCGCAUACUUACUGAAGACUUUAAGAUCAUGUUGUGAUUUUCUACACAUUACAGGUCAGCUAUUACUGGCCAAAGGUGAAUUAGAACAGGCACCUAAUGCAUUUAAGAUCGUUCUAGAGGGAGACUGUGAUAAUGUAUCUGCCCUUUUGGGUCAGGUAUAUUAAAUCUUCUCUAUAUUCAAUUGAUUCUGUUAGUGAUUGUAUAUAGGUCAUUAUUGUUUGUCCAGAAAACUUGCUUUGCUCUCUACUGUAAAUUUUGUUGUAAUGCCCUGUAGAGAUGGAUGAUGGUUGCAUUGUUUCCUUUUACAGCAAGUUUUUCUCUUGAUAAAAUUCCUUCUGUUUCUCUAACUUGACACCUUUUAGUUUUUUGGCUUAUUUUUCAACCCAACUUUGUUCGGUAAAUGCUUAUGUUCAUCAUUCUUUGAUUGCAUUACUUUCCUAUAUAAUGCUAUUCCAUCUAAGGCUAUCUUGUCUGCUUAGCUACAUUCCAAAUAUAUUUGGCAUAGGCAUAAAAUUGAUACUUAUUGUGUCUAACAUGGUAAAGACUAAUGAGUUAGUUCUGUGAAACGUACAAGGUUUGUUAUUUUCACCUUAUUGUUUGCCAUCCAUGCUACUUUUUUUUUUAAUACAUUUCAUUUGUAUUCUGAAGACGAGUUGAUAGGAGCCGUGAGAAAUCUUGUCAUCUGACAUAAUUUUUCUAGUUUGUGAUUAACUUGCUAUUUUGACAUUUGGUAAAAGGGCAUUGCAAGUGUAUCCUAAUUGUCCUGGAGCUGUAAGGCCUGGUAUAGGUCACUGCCACUAUAAAUUGGGCCAUUUUAAAAAAGCAUGGCAAGCAUUUGAACAGAUUUUGCAGGCAAGUGAUGUGAUCUGGUGUACAUGCAUUGGAAUUAUGGUUACCAACUGUAUAAAUUGCACGCAUCGAACUGAUGCUGGUAUCCAUAUAUUUCCUGAUUUUGUAUAAUACAGUUAGAUCCAGAAAAUGCUGCAGCUCUUGUAGCACUUGCAGUUUUGGAUUUGCAAACAAAUGAAGGAGAGAUGGAAAAAAUGCAAAAAGCUUUUGAGAUAUAUCCCUACUGUGCAAUGGCACUGAACCAUCUAUCGAUCACUUUUACUUCACUGGUCAACAUUUUUAAGUUAAGCAACUGACUUAAACUGCCCUAGUUGUGACUAAUCAUGGACCAACAAAGUCACGCUCUUGCUAGUUGCUACAAUUUAGCACACUCUUGCCACAGCAAGGUUCGGAAGCUAUCCACGUUUUUAUAAUUGAAAUAAAGUGUAUUCCUAUUUUAUUAUGGCCAAAAACUUUGUUGGGAGGUGGAGGAAAUGGUUUCCAUUGUGUUAUUCUCUUGCUUGUUUUCUUUUUAUGUGCUUGCAUGUGCACACGUGCUUAAAUUAGAUUUUGAUUUUACGGAGAAUCAAAGAGAUGCAAGAUAAGCCAAACUGUCUGAAGGCACUCUAUGACACACUCUUGCUGUUGGAAGUUCAUGAUAUGUGCAGCAGUCUAAAUGCGUUGCAAAAUUGCUAUGUGAAUACUUAAUCACAAAUUUUUAAUGGUGGCACUGAUUGCAAUAGGAUACCUGACAUGUUAUAGAUUAUUAUGGGAGGUUUAUUAAUUCUGUUGGUGUUAAGUCUGCUGAUAUUAGUGAUUCAUUACUGUCUGUCUUUCAGUGUUAGCAUCAGUUAAUCAUCAUUCAAAGUGAAAUUGGGAUAUUCUUUAAUUUGAAUUAUGUUUUAUUCUAGUCAUUAAUUUUGCAUUUUGAGCUCUAGUUGUUCAAAAUGGAAUAUUUUCCUUCAUUUGCUAGCUGAAAUUUGUCUUAUUUCUUGGGAGAGGCCUGCUCCUUCAUCAAGUAGGAGGUGGCGGGCUUGGUCAGAAUCUGAUGAUGAUGAGGUAUUAGAGAGGAAACCACAGGCCAGUCCUGUCGGAGAAAAUUCUACUGAGCUGCAAGAGAGCGAUGUAGAAUUCAGAGAGGAUGUUGACAUUUGACAAGGAACAUGGGAAUGCUUCUGUGGAUGAUGAGGAUUGAUAUCAAAGAUUUUUCAAACUUAGCAAUAGGAACCAAUUUAUCCUGCUAAACUUGAAAUUUGUCCAUUUAAACAGAAACAAAGGGAAAUGUAACAAAUGCUAGACUUCAAGGGGCAGUGGAAUUGAGUGGCGGGUGUCGAUGUCCCCACGGGCUUUGGAGAUAAAGCUUUGGGAUCUCGAUGCUAUAAAUGCUCUUGAAUUCAAGGCUUGAAGAUAAUAGAGUUGCUUGUUUUCAAAGACUGAGACAAAGGUAUUUUGUUUUACUUUUCCCCUUCUCUCUCUCUCCGUGUGUGUCUCUGGAGUGGUUACUGACAGAAGCAGAGAGUCAGAUAUUUUCAUGGGUGGGUGGGUGAUGGCCUGAUGGGUGAGAGGAUUAAAAAGUGUACUGUAUGGACGUGCUUCUUUACUGGCUACUGAUUCGGUGGAAAAGCCUUUUAAGUCAUGUCUCUAAACUCUCUUUUUCUGAGGCAGCCAGACCCACGCUCACCCCACCAAUUGCACCAGAAGCUUCAGAACAGAUGCAGACUAAUGCUUUGUUUGCAAUGGCUUUUACCUGACCUGAUCCCUUCUGCUCAGUUGGCUUCAGUUUCCAUGACUAAAAUGCCCCUUUUCUCAUUUCGUUGCCCAACCGAAACACUUUCUCGACAACAGGUAUUUGUUUUGCGCCAUUUUUUACCGUGUCAACUGGAGUUUUAUGUGGGAAAUGUAUCUGAAAAUUUCAUCCACCGUUAUUGAAAAAGUACUUUCAUAACAAUAUCAUUUUUAAACAUCAAUUUGUAUAAAAAAAAAUUUGAUAAAUUUUACAAAGGGUUACUAAACUAAUUACUGAAUGUAUUGUGGCCACAAGAUAAAUUUAUUAUAAGAAAAAAUUAUUAUUUAGUUUAUUUAUUUUUAAUAAAAUUAACUAUUUGAUCAUUUUAUUUUAAAAAAUAUUUUAGGAAAGGAGAAAAAUAGGAAAAAAAAUUUUACAAAAGGGACUCAAUACCUAAACUCUCAUCUAUGGAGGAGAAUUUGUGAGAAAAAUAGAUUGGGACUUAAACCCUAAACUGAAAUGAAGAAGGAGAAUAUGGUUGAAAAAUAGUUUUGGAACACAAUCUCUAGAAGAAUAUGGGAGAAAGUUAGUUUUGAAAAUCAAGCCCUAAGUUAAAAUGAAGAAAGAGAAUGGCUUUGAGACUAAACCCGACGCUUUGAUAACAUAUUAAAAUCUCAAAUGAUAGAAAAGAUAAAAGAGAAAAUAAUAAGAGAAGGACUUACAUGAUUUGGCUACCAGGAGUUUACUUGUGUAUUUAACAUAAAAUAUGAAAGAUACAAGAUAUAUAUGUUAUUCUAUCAAUAAACCAUAAAUUGCUAAAGCAAUUGAUUAUUUUUUUUAAUAAUUAUGAGAUUCUUAGAUAUGAGACAUCCCUUGAAUUAAAAUAAAAGGUAAAUAUCAUCAAUUCCACUAGACACGACGAGUUUCAACCAGAUUAGAUAAUUCCAAAUUGCAUAAGUCGACAUUUAUAGUUUCAACUUGAAUCAAAAGCCAUCUUCGACACUAAAAACCACCACGUUUGUGGAUUAGAUAAAUUCCAAAGUGUCGAAGGUGCAUAGAAAACCUCCACGUUGGCCGCUUUCACCCUAACUUAGGAAUUUGUUUUCCAUUCAUCCUAGAGUGGGAAAUAUUUUCCCAUUAACCCUGUUUUGGAACCUUGCCCUUUACCCCGACUUUUACCUCCUCCCCUUCCCCAGUCCUCCUCUCCUAACACACAACCACCCCACCCCCCACCCCGCGCCCCCCCUUCCCCCGCCGGGCGCCCCGCCACAAGUUCUUUCUUCUGUCAGAAGCCAACCAAUUGUCCUUGCUCCACACCGGCAAUGUAAGGGGACACCGGUGACUCUAGAUGAUUGCCAUGUCCACCAAAUGAUGGCAAGAGGUAGAACACUGAAGGAGGAGAGAGAAGCAUUGUCGGAUCUUUAGGUUCAGAUUUCCGGAGAUCCCGACUUUGGAUCUCUAGGCCAUUUGCUAUCUGACCAGAAUUUGUGGCUCGAGUUUUAGUGGUAAAUCUGCUCUCAUGCUCUCAUUGGAUUUAAGAGAUUGGAGUUGUAGCUUUACUCCUCUAGUAACAGUUAGACCUUAGUGGCUGAGAUAAGUAAUCAACUCCCUCUCGUAUUGUAUUGGAAUGUUUAUUUUCUCACAUGGUAUAUUCGUACAUGGUGCAUAAGUAGCUUUAAAUUAUUUUCUUGUAUGAUUAUUUUAUGAAUUAUUUGAGGGUGAACGGCUGAUUAGUAAUUAUAAAAAUUAUAAUUAUAUUUAAUA